Lycium barbarum (goji berry) is the source of this 2235-nucleotide RNA transcript. RefSeq lists it as uncharacterized. The record is from RefSeq and is a predicted model, not a curated record. Lineage: Eukaryota; Viridiplantae; Streptophyta; Magnoliopsida; Solanales; Solanaceae. The transcript has 3 exons.
CCCAUAAAACUCGCCCGAAACUAAAACGAAUCGAUCUCUCAAUUGUCAAAUCUCAUCAAUUAACCCCCUUGUCACUCUUCUUUCUCUCCCAUCCAAAGCCAAGAAUUUCCACUACAGUUACACCCAUAAACAACUACACUAUUCUUUGCAAAUUAGCCUCGCAAUUGAAAAUUGUAGUGAUCAAUAUUUAUAAAAGAGUAAUCAUCUUAUUUUCUUCUAACCCUUUAAACAAUGAAGGUUCAUCCAGUACCAAGAAAACGCAACAUCACGUUACAAUACGACAUUUCUUCAGCUCUCUCUCAAGCAAGCCGUCAAAAGAAGCUACGGCGACUUCCCCAUAUCUUCGCGAAGGUUCUUGAACUUCCUUUUAAUUCCGAUACCGAUGUUUCAAUCCAAGAAACCUCCGAUUCAUUGCGUUUUAUUAUCCCUACAGAUGAUACUGCUGGGGAUAAUAUUAGGGCUGAUAUAGUUGAGAUCUAUCCUGGCGUUACUAAGAUUGUAAUCCGAGGGGAUAAUAUUAACGCUUUUGAUGCGUCCUUGUGUGAAUUUGAGCUCGACACGUGGCGCUUCCGUCUUCCGCCGUCAACUUUGCCGGAAUUGGCUACCGCCGUUAACUCUGACGGUGUGCUGGUGGUUACGGUGCCUAAAGAUACAGAUGACGUGGAUGAUGCUGGUGAUAUUGGACGCCUUAUUCUUGUACAAUAAAUUAACUCUCUAGUUUAUGUCGCAGUUGUUGCUCUGUUAUCUAAAGGGGCCGAGGGGAAGAAGAAAAGAGCAAGCUUUUACUUAAAAAUGAGCAGUUAAAGUCAUCCUAUACUUCUAUUAUAGCAAUUUGUCACAAUCACAAAUGCGGUUGAGUUGCUCGUUGUGUUUUUAUAAGCAUAGAGGAAGGUUUAAGAGCUAAGCCAUUCUGAAAAGGUUCUGAAGAAGAUACAAAUUGUGGAGAAACAUCUGUAGUUGGGCUCUGUACAAGGUUCUCAUGUUAUGGUGAUUGUAGUAAUCUAUGUGGCUUCAAUAUACCCGUGGUUAUGUUCUCCUGAUCUUGUUCAUACUGGUCCAAGGGCUGUAACGUGUCCCACUGUUUAAUUAUCUUGGAACCAAGAGAGGACCUUAGUUUUACCUGGUUUGCGGCUGUGAGUCUGUCAUUUCUGCUCAGUUUUUAAAGAUUUUCUGGAGCUGCCAAUCUGUGGUCAUGGUAAUACUCUUAUGUGAGACUUAGUACAAUCGAAUCCCUAAAACAGACCUUACAAAAAUCACACAAUUAGUUGUCAUUUUCGCUCCUAACCAUGAAGUGUAGUGUUGUUAUCAUUCCCAACCAUGUUUUUAUGCUCAUUAAGUUAUAAUUCUUCACCCGCAAGGGUGACUCAGUUGGCUGAGCAUGGGGCUUCCAUAAUGGAGGUCUCAAGUUCAAAAGGAUUUGCCUUCUGGGUCGAGCUCGUCGCACGGGGCUUGCCUAGAGCGGGUUAUCUCUCCUAUGUGAUUUGUGGGCUAUUGCGCAGGACGGGGUUUACCCUGUACGCACACAAAGGAUAGCGGCUAAGGGUUCCCUUGUCAUCCAAAAAAAAAGAAAUAAGUCUUCGACCGAAGCCUAUGUGGAAGCUUUGAUAUGGAUCGCUAAGUAGCUUUAGGAUGUUCGACAGAAGUCUAUUAUUGCAGUGUGGGACUAUGUAUAGUUGCAUUAUCAUCCAGGGUAGUCCAGGAAGACGUGUGACGUCUCUUUUCUUUUGGUUGCUGGUAGAUUGUUCUCUUAAAGAAACAAUUGGAUAACAUUGACAAAACCAACUUAAUUGGCAAUUCAUUUCCUUUGCUAAAAUCAGAAUAAGUGUCGUCACAACCAUGAUUAUGUUCUUGUCUAAUGAUUUUGAUGAAUCAGGACCUGGUCCAGUUCUUUUUUUCUGGCUAUUUCUACAGUUUAAGUAGAUGGUAGUAGUAUAAUUCUGGUGAUGAGAUAAGUGGGGUCUUGCAAAUGUUAGCUUCACGCUCUACCAAAUAUGUGCCAUUUCACUUGCUGGCAAUGACACAUCAUAGUCUACUCUGAUGUGAAAGUUAAGGCUUCACAUACCACCAUGAUGUCAACAAAAGGAUGGAUCUAGAGGCUUCACCUUUUAUCUUGAGAAAGAAUGACGAAUUCUCAUCACUGUAUUUUUGCAGCCAAAUAACCUCUCUUGAAAUUACACUAAAGUUGAACUAUUCGCUAACUCUUUCUUUGCAAGUGGGACAGGAAUAGAUUCUGCU